UACGAAGGUCCCAAGCGUUAUCCGGAUUUAUUGGGUUUAAAGGGUGCGUAGGCUGGGUUAUUAAGUCAGUGGUGAAAGCCUUCAGCUUAACUGAAGAAUUGCCAUUGACGUACUGAUGAUCUUGAGUAUGAUUGAGGUGGGCGGAAUGUGUCAUGUAGCGGUGAAAUGCUUAGAUAUGACACAGAACACCGAAUUGCGAAGGCAGCUCACUAAGUCAUAACUGACGCUGAUGCACGAAAGCGUGGGGAGCAAACAGG
RNAcentral lists this ribosomal RNA (257 nucleotides) under uncultured bacterium. RNAcentral describes it as "partial 16S ribosomal RNA". It matches the Rfam family "Bacterial small subunit ribosomal RNA", at positions 524 to 776 of the family's 1533-position model. The record is from RNAcentral.